AAGAGGUCAGGGCCAUGCUGUUCGGAUAUCUUUGAAAGAUACCUUUUUGAAAGAAAGGACUAUGAUGAGGAGGCAUGGUGGUGUUCUCUCCUGAGCAUGAAGCUGGCUUCAAGUUGCUUCCACAAUUGCCUCUUGCCAUUGAUGAUCAUUCUUUUCCUCCUUUGGGGAAGUAAGAGGGAGAUGAUACAGUCUGAGUGGU
This is a small nucleolar RNA of Panthera leo (lion), 199 nucleotides long. Its record names the gene U3. It matches the Rfam family "Small nucleolar RNA U3". Rfam says of the family: Small nucleolar RNAs (snoRNAs) are involved in the processing and modification of rRNA in the nucleolus. The record is from Ensembl. Lineage: Eukaryota; Metazoa; Chordata; Mammalia; Carnivora; Felidae.